UAAAGUGGCGAACGGCUGAGUAACACGUGGGCAACCUGCCCUUUGCACUGGGAUAGCCUCGGGAAACCGAGGUUAAUACCGGAUACUCCAUAUUUGUCGCAUGGCGAAUAUGGGAAAGCUCCGGCGGCAAAGGAUGGGCCCGCGGCCUGUUAGCUAGUUGGUGGGGUAGUGGCCUACCAAGGCAAUGAUGGGUAGCCGGGUUGAGAGACCGACUGGCCAGAUUGGGACUGAGACACGGCCCAGACUCCUACGGGAGGCAGCAGAA
RNAcentral lists this ribosomal RNA (265 nucleotides) under uncultured Atopobium sp. Its description in RNAcentral is "partial 16S ribosomal RNA". It matches the Rfam family "Bacterial small subunit ribosomal RNA", at positions 91 to 354 of the family's 1533-position model. Lineage: Bacteria; Bacillati; Actinomycetota; Coriobacteriia; Coriobacteriales; Atopobiaceae. The record is from RNAcentral.